RNAcentral lists this ribosomal RNA (497 nucleotides) under uncultured bacterium. RNAcentral's name for it is "partial 16S ribosomal RNA". It matches the Rfam family "Bacterial small subunit ribosomal RNA", at positions 28 to 507 of the family's 1533-position model. The record is from RNAcentral.
GAUGAACGCUGGCGGCGUGCCUAAUACAUGCAAGUCGAGCGAACAGAUAAGGAGCUUGCUCCUUUGACGUUUGCGGCGGACGGGUGAGUAACACGUGGGUAACCUACCUAUAAGACUGGUAUAACUUCGGGACACCGGAGCUAAUCCCGGAUAAUAUUUCGAACCGCAUGGUUCGAUAGUGAAAGUUGGUUUUGCUAUCACCUCUAGCUGCACCCGCGCCGUAUUAGCUAGUUGGUAAGGUAAAGGCUUACCAAGGCGACGAUGCGUGGCCGACCGGAUAGGCGGAUCGGCGACACGGGAGCUGGGCCAGGGUCCAGACGCCUGCGAGACGCAGCAGUAGGGAAUCGUCCGCAGUAGGCGAAAGUCUGACGGAGCGAGGCCGAGUGAGAGAUAGAGGUCUUGGGAGCGUAAAGCUCUGUUAUUAGGGGAGAACAGACGUGGAAGUAACUGAACAGGGCGUGACGGUACCGAAUCAGAAAGCAACGGCUAACUACGUG